GUAAUGUAGCUCAGUGGUAGAGCACUUGUCCAGCAUGUGCAAGCCCUGGGUUCAAUCUCCAGUUACA
RNAcentral lists this transfer RNA (67 nucleotides) under Marmota monax (woodchuck). RNAcentral describes it as "tRNA.Ala". The record is from RNAcentral. Lineage: Eukaryota; Metazoa; Chordata; Mammalia; Rodentia; Sciuridae.